Molecule: long non-coding RNA, 630 nt
Organism: Diachasma alloeum
Lineage: Eukaryota; Metazoa; Arthropoda; Insecta; Hymenoptera; Braconidae
Exons: 2
Source: RefSeq, a predicted model, not a curated record
UAUUAAUCAGAUAACUCAGGAAAUACCUAUUAUUUCCAUGAAAACUCAAGUUGGUGAGCGAGAUAUUGAUUGUUGGAUUGUUAUUGUUUACUCUUGGGUGCCUUCCUUUCGGAAUUGAUAAUUUUAAUCAGUAUCAUUCUGGGAUUCAGUCGGUUCCCAUCAAGACCGUUGACGUGGGGCUCAAGUUUGUUCUUAAUCAACAAGGCAAGCCUAUGUUGUUGCAUCAAGGAUAUCUUUAUACACGUUUUCGAGCUAAUGCUAAUUCUAUUGUAUGGCGUUGUCGACAGUGGAAGGAGGCUGUUUGUUCAGUGUUCAUUCGCACUAGUUCCGACAAAAGGACAGGAGUCAUCGUUGGCGAAGCGCUCCAACAUGAGCGCUCUCACUGAGGUCGUGAUGUCCAAUGUACUGGCUCACCGCGUUGUUGCAGAACCUCGUCGAAGAAAGUAUGUGGUAAUUGAUAGCGCUCUGGAAGCUCUAGUGGAGUCGUAUAAUGCUGACGAUAUCAUCUUCUUGCUGACGAUAUCGUCUUCUUGAAAGGUGUUGCAUUUAAUCUAAAAUUGUAACGUGUUCAGAGCAGUGGUCCAUUCAUGAUGAAAUAAUUUUGUCAUAAAUAAAGUACUUUUCAGUUAA